UGUUUCGGCUAGGGGGCCAUCCCGGCUUACCAACCCGAUGCAAACUGCGAAUACCGGAGAAUGUUAUCACGGGAGACACACGGCGGGUGCUAACGUCCGUCGUGAAGAGGGAAACAACCCAGACCGCCAGCUAAGGUCCCAAAGUCAUGGUUAAGUGGGAAACGAUGUGGGAAGGCCCAGACAGCCAGGAUGUUGGCUUAGAAGCAGCCAUCAUUUAAAGAAAGCGUAAUAGCUCACUGGUCGAGUCGGCCUGCGCGGAAGAUGUAACGGGGCUAAACCAUGCACCGAAGCUGCGGCAGCGACACUGUGUGUUGUUGGGUAGGGGAGCGUUCUGUAAGCCUGCGAAGGUGGCCUGUGAGGGUUGCUGGAGGUAUCAGAAGUGCGAAUGCUGACAUAAGUAACGAUAAAGCGGGUGAAAAGCCCGCUCGCCGGAAGACCAAGGGUUCCUGUCCAACGUUAAUCGGGGCAGGGUGAGUCGACCCCUAAGGCGAGGCCGAAAGGCGUAGUCGAUGGGAAA
This 517-nucleotide ribosomal RNA is filed under the name Salmonella enterica subsp. enterica. RNAcentral's name for it is "partial 23S ribosomal RNA". It matches the Rfam family "Bacterial large subunit ribosomal RNA", at positions 911 to 1425 of the family's 2925-position model. The record is from RNAcentral. Lineage: Bacteria; Pseudomonadati; Pseudomonadota; Gammaproteobacteria; Enterobacterales; Enterobacteriaceae.